Molecule: ribosomal RNA, 1168 nt
Filed under: Salmonella enterica
Lineage: Bacteria; Pseudomonadati; Pseudomonadota; Gammaproteobacteria; Enterobacterales; Enterobacteriaceae
Description: partial 23S ribosomal RNA
Rfam family: Bacterial large subunit ribosomal RNA
Source: RNAcentral
AGACCCGAAACCCGGUGAUCUAGCCAUGGGCAGGUUGAAGGUUGGGUAACACUAACUGGAGGACCGAACCGACUAAUGUUGAAAAAUUAGCGGAUGACCUGUGGCUGGGGGUGAAAGGCCAAUCAAACCGGGAGAUAGCUGGUUCUCCCCGAAAGCUAUUUAGGUAGCGCCUCGUGAAUUCAUCUCCGGGGGUAGAGCACUGUUUCGGCUAGGGGGCCAUCCCGGCUUACCAACCCGAUGCAAACUGCGAAUACCGGAGAAUGUUAUCACGGGAGACACACGGCGGGUGCUAACGUCCGUCGUGAAGAGGGAAACAACCCAGACCGCCAGCUAAGGUCCCAAAGUCAUGGUUAAGUGGGAAACGAUGUGGGAAGGCCCAGACAGCCAGGAUGUUGGCUUAGAAGCAGCCAUCAUUUAAAGAAAGCGUAAUAGCUCACUGGUCGAGUCGGCCUGCGCGGAAGAUGUAACGGGGCUAAACCAUGCACCGAAGCUGCGGCAGCGAACGUAUCACCCAAGACAACUUUACGGAGUUGACGAUUGACGGAGCGAAGCGACGUCAAAGCGUUCAUUAAAGUCGAGUUGGCUUAGGGAUACGUUCGUUGGGUAGGGGAGCGUUCUGUAAGCCUGUGAAGGUGUGUCGUGAGGCAUGCUGGAGGUAUCAGAAGUGCGAAUGCUGACAUAAGUAACGAUAAAGCGGGUGAAAAGCCCGCUCGCCGGAAGACCAAGGGUUCCUGUCCAACGUUAAUCGGGGCAGGGUGAGUCGACCCCUAAGGCGAGGCCGAAAGGCGUAGUCGAUGGGAAACGGGUUAAUAUUCCCGUACUUGGUGUUACUGCGAAGGGGGGACGGAGAAGGCUAUGUUGGCCGGGCGACGGUUGUCCCGGUUUAAGCGUGUAGGUGUGUGUUCCAGGUAAAUCCGGUUCACUUUAACACUGAGGCGUGACGACGAGGCACUACGGUGCUGAAGCAACAAAUGCCCUGCUUCCAGGAAAAGCCUCUAAGCAUCAGGUAACAUCAAAUCGUACCCCAAACCGACACAGGUGGUCAGGUAGAGAAUACCAAGGCGCUUGAGAGAACUCGGGUGAAGGAACUAGGCAAAAUGGUGCCGUAACUUCGGGAGAAGGCACGCUGACACGUAGGUGAAGUGAUUUACUCAUGGAGCUGAAGUCA